UGUGUAAAAUAUUUAUAAAGUCUAGCCUGCCCACUGAAAUUUAAAGGGCCGCGGUAAUUUGACCGUGCGAAGGUAGCAUAAUCAGUAGCUUCUUAAUUGGGGGCUUGUAUGAAUGGUUGGACGAAAGAGAGGCUGUCUCCUUGGUGUUUUGUUUAGAAUUUAACUUUUAAGUGAAAAGGCUUAAAUUAUUUAGGGGGACGAUAAGACCCUAUAAAACUUGACAUGAAUAUGGUUUAAUUUGUGAUUUUUAGUAAAAGAUGUCUAUAUUAUAUUUAUGUUUCGUUGGGGCGAUGUAGAUAUAAAUUGUAACUGUUUAUUGAAAUUUAAUAGUAAUAAUUAGUUCUUGAUCCCUGCCUUUGGGAUUAGAAGAGUAAGUUACUUUAGGGAUAACAGCGUAAUUUUCUUUGAGAGUUCUUAUCGACAAGAGUAGUUGCGACCUCGAUGUUGAAUUAAAAUUUUUAGCUAGGCGCAGCCGUUUAGCUGGUAGGUCUGUUCGACCUUUAAAAUUUUACAUGAUUUGAGUUCAAACCGGU
This 533-nucleotide ribosomal RNA is filed under the name Macrobrachium equidens. RNAcentral's name for it is "partial 16S ribosomal RNA". It matches the Rfam family "Bacterial large subunit ribosomal RNA", at positions 1830 to 2620 of the family's 2925-position model. Lineage: Eukaryota; Metazoa; Arthropoda; Malacostraca; Decapoda; Palaemonidae. The record is from RNAcentral.